This 489-nucleotide ribosomal RNA is filed under the name uncultured bacterium. RNAcentral describes it as "partial 16S ribosomal RNA". It matches the Rfam family "Bacterial small subunit ribosomal RNA", at positions 28 to 507 of the family's 1533-position model. The record is from RNAcentral.
GAUGAACGCUAGCUACAGGCUUAACACAUGCAAGUCGAGGGGCAGCAUGAACUUAGCUUGCUAAGUUUGAUGGCGACCGGCGCACGGGUGAGUAACACGUAUCCAACCUGCCGAUGACUCGGGGAUAGCCUUUCGAAAGAAAGAUUAAUACCCGAUGGCAUAGUUCUUCCGCAUGGUAGAACUAUUAAAGAAUUUCGGUCAUCGAUGGGGAUGCGUUCCAUUAGGUUGUUGGCGGGGUAACGGCCCACCAAGCCUUCGAUGGAUAGGGGUUCUGCGAGGAAGGUCCCCGACAUUGGAACUGAGACAAGGUCCAAACUCCUACGGGAGGCAGCAGUGAGGGAUAUUGGUCAAUGGACGAGAGUCUGAACCAGCCAAGUAGCGUGAAGGAUGACUGCCCUAUGGGUUGUAAACUUCUUUUAUACGGGCAUAAAGUGAGGCACGUGUGCCUUUUUGUAUGUACCGUAUGAAUAAGGAUCGGCUAACUCCGUG